UAGCCAAUGUCACUACUGUCAUGUAAAUGAAAAGCUCAUGACAGUGGUACAUUGUCUACU
RNAcentral lists this microRNA precursor (60 nucleotides) under Caenorhabditis remanei. RNAcentral describes it as "microRNA crm-mir-1817b precursor". The record is from miRBase by way of RNAcentral. Lineage: Eukaryota; Metazoa; Nematoda; Chromadorea; Rhabditida; Rhabditidae.